Molecule: small RNA, 82 nt
Filed under: Salmonella enterica subsp. enterica serovar Infantis
Lineage: Bacteria; Pseudomonadati; Pseudomonadota; Gammaproteobacteria; Enterobacterales; Enterobacteriaceae
Also listed under: 6 other names
Description: partial RtT sRNA
Rfam family: RtT RNA
About the family: This family represents a bacterial cis-regulatory element known as RtT RNA. The exact function of RtT is unknown although it is thought that it may be involved in changing the cellular response in relation to amino acid starvation.
Source: RNAcentral
CGAGCGAAGCGAGAGAACGUUGCGUCAGCAACGGCCCGCAGGGCGAGCCACGCAGUGGCGAGUCAUCCUCUAUCACCGACCA